This is a long non-coding RNA of Chinchilla lanigera (long-tailed chinchilla), 1243 nucleotides long. RefSeq lists it as uncharacterized. The record is from RefSeq and is a predicted model, not a curated record. The transcript has 4 exons. Lineage: Eukaryota; Metazoa; Chordata; Mammalia; Rodentia; Chinchillidae.
AGGCAGGAGCUGAGCCGCUGAGCUAAAUCCCAGCCCCAGAAAUUAGUUUUCUAGAUUGUUAGAUGUUCAUGUUUAAGAUAUACAGUGUGCAGACCAGAGAGGGAAACAGUGACCACUGGAGGGAAGAUGGGAAGUGGCCCUCACCACAGACUCUGGUUCCUUUUCUCCUAUGGAACAAAAGGCCUGAACCGCUGGGGAAGGACAGCAAAGCUCUUGUCUGCAGACAAAGGUUGGCCCAAGACAUUCCCUAUCAAUACCAAGCACAUAUGUAAGCUGAAAUGAAAGCAAGGCCUCAGGCAACCACUGAUCUGAUCUCAUAAGCACAGACUCAUUUUCCUGUGGUGGAUGUUGUGGAAGUGGAAUCAUGCACAUGUGUGCAGCAAGGUAAGGCUUCCUUCACUCAGUAGGGUGUCUUCAAGAUGAAUCCAUGUUGAACUUGAUAUAUACAGAGGUACCUCAGUUCAUGAACCUAAUUCAUUUCACAAUUUUGGUGGUGAACUGAGUUGGCUACAAACUAAAUCAAAUUUCCCCAUAAAGUUCAAUGUAAAUAAGGUUAAUCUGUUCUGAACCGUAUGUAUUUUUUUAAACAACAAACAUAUGAAACAAAGUACAGUACAGCAUGAAGAGAGAGAACACUUGAUUGAGGUGACUUCUGGGAUAGAGGACGGGAAGGUGGGUAGGAAGAAGUUAUUGUUUGGAGGUAGCUUGCCCUUCCGUAAGGACAUCAGUGAGAUCUUCUGGGGUUUCCCCUCUUCUUUGACCCUCAGUGGCAGGGUCAGUUUUGAUGAAAAAAAAAAAAAAAAAAAAAAAACCUGUCUAAUGUCACUUGUUUUCUCCUAUGCUGCAUAACCUUACAGGAGUGAGAGAACACUUUAUCAUUCAUCAGAUUCAACCCUCUGCUAAUUAUAGUUAUGUUGGAGUGGUGCUUCUCAAAGAAACCCUGGCACUCACUCCACUUUUCCAUAAUUGAUUUUAUCACAUCAUUGCCAACCUCCCCCCGUCUUCCUCUUCCUCAGUGGAAUGCUCCUGGGCAAGCACCUUCUGUGGCUCACUGUAGAACUCAGCAAGUUCUUCCAUCAUUAGCUCCUCCUUAUGGUCCUCAACAAGCUUCUCUGUAUAUGCACCAUCAACAUGCAGGCUCAUACUCCUGCUCAUGGACACAAUGUCAUCCACUACCUGUGCAUCAGAUCCUUCAGAGUCACAUUCAGUGACACAUUCUAGCCAUAGCUUCCUCUGGGCUGAG